RNAcentral lists this ribosomal RNA (253 nucleotides) under uncultured bacterium. Its description in RNAcentral is "partial 16S ribosomal RNA". It matches the Rfam family "Bacterial small subunit ribosomal RNA", at positions 524 to 776 of the family's 1533-position model. The record is from RNAcentral.
UACGUAGGGUGCGAGCGUUAAUCGGAAUUACUGGGCGUAAAGCGUGCGUAGGCGGUUUGUUAAGUCAGAUGUGAAAUCCCCGGGCUUAACCUGGGAACUGCAUUUGUGACUGGCAAGCUAGAGUAUGGCAGAGGGGGGUAGAAUUCCACGUGUAGCAGUGAAAUGCGUAGAGAUGUGGAGGAAUACCGAUGGCGAAGGCAGCCCCCUGGGCCGAUACUGACGCUCAUGCACGAAAGCGUGGGGAGCAAACAGG